GGUCCCGUAGUUCAACGGAUAGAAUAGGAGUUUCCUAAACUCUAGAUAUGAGUUCGAUUCUCGUCGGGACCACCG
RNAcentral lists this transfer RNA (75 nucleotides) under Mucilaginibacter sp. PPCGB 2223. RNAcentral's name for it is "tRNA-Arg". It matches the Rfam family "tRNA". From Rfam's summary of the family: Transfer RNA (tRNA) molecules are approximately 80 nucleotides in length. Their secondary structure includes four short double-helical elements and three loops (D, anti-codon, and T loops). The record is from RNAcentral. Lineage: Bacteria; Pseudomonadati; Bacteroidota; Sphingobacteriia; Sphingobacteriales; Sphingobacteriaceae.